Molecule: non-coding RNA, 67 nt
Organism: Potamilus streckersoni
Lineage: Eukaryota; Metazoa; Mollusca; Bivalvia; Unionida; Unionidae
Source: the annotation of a GenBank genome assembly
GUAGCCUAGUGGUUAGAGCGUCCGCCUCAGAUGCGGGAGUUAGCGGUUUAGAAUCCCGGUCGAGUCA